AUUGAACGCUGGCGGCAUGCCUUACACAUGCAAGUCGAACGGCAGCACGGGAGCAAUCCUGGUGGCGAGUGGCGAACGGGUGAGUAAUAUAUCGGAACGUGCCCAGUCGUGGGGAAUAACGUAGCGAAAGCUACGCUAAUACCGCAUACGAUCUACGGAUGAAAGCGGGGGAUCGCAAGACCUCGCGCGAUUGGAGCGGCCGAUAUCAGAUUAGGUAGUUGGUGAGGUAAAGGCUCACCAAGCCGACGAUCUGUAGCUGGUCUGAGAGGACGACCAGCCACACUGGGACUGAGACACGGCCCAGACUCCUACGGGAGGCAGCAGUGGGGAAUUUUGGGACAAUGGGCGCAAGCCUGAUCCAGCAAUGCCGCGUGCAGGAUGAAGGCCU
Molecule: ribosomal RNA, 388 nt
Filed under: uncultured bacterium
Lineage: Bacteria
Description: bacterial SSU rRNA
Rfam family: Bacterial small subunit ribosomal RNA
Source: RNAcentral